Non-coding RNA from Schizosaccharomyces pombe (fission yeast), 605 nucleotides. NCBI's taxonomy places the organism in Eukaryota, Fungi, Ascomycota, Schizosaccharomycetes, Schizosaccharomycetales, Schizosaccharomycetaceae. The record is from the annotation of a GenBank genome assembly.
UCCUACAUAUCUUUACCGAUAUGUUACAAAUUCGUUAUUAAAGUUUACAGGAACGGAACGAUUUCUUUACAAAACUGAUUCAGUGACUCUGUCUCUCCCGUUAUACUAGCCUUACGAUUCAAGUCCAUUUCAUUAUCCAAUGUUGCCAGCGACCAUGGAUCCAUUAAUGGCUGAUUUUAAGAUGAGUUCAUGGACAGCUUCGGGUUGGCCACAAUUAGGCAACCAGUAAAUCACCUUACUUGUCUUCCUCCAUGUAACUCGUAGAUCUUACACAUUGGAGUAGCACGCUACUUGAAUUGUUAUGAAUGAUCAAGUUGCUAGAAAAAACAGGAAAUCGUUUUUGUAGACAAGUCGAUGACAAUGGAAAAGAAAACAGAGUUGGGAAAGAAAUAAAGGAAGUAAACAAAAAAGCGAUAUACUGGUUUUCGCAUUUCCAGCAUAUAUUGGAGCCGAUCACAUUAUCCCAUACAUAGCUAAAUACAGAUAAUCAAGAUAUGGAGUGGAUAUAAACUGAUUGCUUUUACUUUCAGCUGAUGUUUUGAAUUCUUUUCAUGUUACUUUUGAUUACUACUUGAAUUCAAGUGGAAGUGGUUUUCAAAAAAAGU